CAGCAGCCACGGGAAUACGUAGGGUGCGAGCGUUAAUCGGAAUUACUGGGCGUAAGGCGUGCGUAGGCGGUUCGUUAAGUCUGUUGUGAAAGCCCCGGGCUCAACCUGGGAAUGGCAAUGGAUACUGGCGAGCUAGAGUGUGUCAGAGGAUGGUGGAAUUCCCGGUGUAGCGGUGAAAUGCGUAGAGAUCGGGAGGAACAUCAGUGGCGAAGGCGGCCAUCUGGGACAACACUGACGCUGAGGCACGAAAGCGUGGGGAGCAAACAGGAUUAGAUACCCCCGUAGUCCCUGUCUCUUAUAC
Molecule: ribosomal RNA, 301 nt
Filed under: uncultured bacterium
Lineage: Bacteria
Description: partial 16S ribosomal RNA
Rfam family: Bacterial small subunit ribosomal RNA
Source: RNAcentral